ACGGCAACAUCAUGUAGAAAACACCAGUUCCUGUAUGAUCACCAAAGUUAAGCAAUAUUGAGCCUAAUCAGUAACUAGAUGGGUGACCACUUGGGAAAACCAAGUUCUGUAAG
Acanthosepion pharaonis is the source of this 113-nucleotide non-coding RNA. NCBI's taxonomy places the organism in Eukaryota, Metazoa, Mollusca, Cephalopoda, Sepiida, Sepiidae. The record is from the annotation of a GenBank genome assembly.